RNAcentral lists this ribosomal RNA (880 nucleotides) under uncultured soil bacterium. Its description in RNAcentral is "bacterial SSU rRNA". It matches the Rfam family "Bacterial small subunit ribosomal RNA", at positions 56 to 937 of the family's 1533-position model. The record is from RNAcentral.
UGCAAGUCGAGUGCGCGUGCCGUAGCAAUACGGUAUGGCGCACGGCGCACGGGUGCGUAACACGUGGGCAAUCUGCCCUUCGAUGGGGAAUAACUCCGGGAAACCGAAGCUAAUUCCGCAUAACAUUCCCUGGACUCCGGUUUGGGGAUUCAAAGCAGCAAUGCGUCGAAGGAGGAGCCCGCGCCCGAUUAGCUAGUUGGUAGGGUAACGGCCUACCAAGGCUUUGAUCGGUAGCUGGUCUGAGAGGAUGGCCAGCCACACUGGAACUGAGACACGGUCCAGACUCCUACGGGAGGCAGCAGUGGGGAAUCUUGCGCAAUGGGCGAAAGCCUGACGCAGCGACGCCGCGUGGGGGAUGAAGCUUCUCGGAGUGUAAACCCCUUUCGACUGGGACGAAUGCCUCGCAAGAGGAGUGACGGUACCAGUAGAAGAAGCCCCGGCUAACUACGUGCCAGCAGCCGCGGUAAGACGUAGGGGGCCAGCGUUGUUCGGAAUUACUGGGUGUAAAGGGUUCGUAGGCGGUGUGGCAAGUCGGGAGUGAAAUUUCUGGGCUUAACCCAGAACCUGCUUCCGAAACUGCUGUGCUCGAGUGUGGGAGAGGCGCGUGGAAUUGCAGGUGUAGCGGUGAAAUGCGUAGAUAUCUGCAGGAACACCCGUGGCGAANGCGGCGCGCUGGACCACUACUGACGCUGAGGAACGAAAGCUAGGGGAGCAAACAGGAUUAGAUACCCUGGUAGUCCUAGCCCUAAACGAUCAGGACUUGGGGUGCCACCCGUUCGGGUGUCGUCCCGGAGCUAACGCGUUAAGUCCUGCACCUGGGGAGUACGGUCGCAAGACUGAAACUCAAAGGAAUUGACGGGGGCCCGCACAAGCGGUGGAA